AUGGUAGUGCAGGGGAGGCUCCGGGGGGCCGACCUCGACGCUGUCGACGAUCUUCUGGACCAUUUCAUACACCUCGCUCAUCUUCGGGCGCGUCUUCGGUAGCCGCAGGAGGCAGCGGUUUGCCACGCCGGCCAGCUUUGUCAUGGACUUGAGGUCGUAGUGGCCCUCAAGACGCGGGUCGACGAUGAUGGGGAACCGCUUGACGUCCGAGAUGUACGGUUUCACCCAGUCCAGGAGCUUCUGCUCGCCCUUUGGGCGGUUCCGAUCGAUGGGACGCCGGCCGGUGAUGAGCUCGUAGAGGAGCACGCCGUAGCCCCAUAUGUCGCUUUUUGCGGUGAGGCGCCCGGUUUGCAUGUAUUCGGGCGCGGCGUAUCCUAG
RNAcentral lists this ribosomal RNA (378 nucleotides) under Triticum aestivum (bread wheat). RNAcentral's name for it is "partial small subunit ribosomal RNA". The record is from RNAcentral. Lineage: Eukaryota; Viridiplantae; Streptophyta; Magnoliopsida; Poales; Poaceae.